RNAcentral lists this ribosomal RNA (254 nucleotides) under uncultured bacterium. RNAcentral describes it as "partial 16S ribosomal RNA". It matches the Rfam family "Bacterial small subunit ribosomal RNA", at positions 524 to 776 of the family's 1533-position model. The record is from RNAcentral.
UACGUAGGGGGCGAGCGUUGUCCGGAUUCAUUGGGCGUAAAGAGCUCGUAGGCGGCUUGGCAAGUCGGGUGUGAAACCUCCAGGCUCAACCUGGAGACGCCACCCGAUACUGCUAUGGCUAGAGUCCGGUAGGGGACCACGGAAUUCCUGGUGUAGCGGUGAAAUGCGCAGAUAUCAGGAGGAACACCGGUGGCGAAGGCGGUGGUCUGGGCCGGCACUGACGCUGAGGAGCGAAAGCGUGGGGAGCGAACAGG